CUCCCAUCUUCUCAAGCAUUAUUUUAUAAUGUUUGGAUUUGUUUGGAGAGGCCCCUCAUUUAUAGAGGUGCCCUUCAGAAAUGUAUAUGGCAGUAUAGUUUAUAUCUGAGCCAGGCGUAAUAAUGAAUAAAGUCGCUGAGCUUACUAUAAUUGUACUUGCCUGAACCCACCCAUUGUUAGUUU
RNAcentral lists this unclassified non-coding RNA (183 nucleotides) under uncultured Pezizaceae. Its description in RNAcentral is "sequence contains ITS2". The record is from RNAcentral. Lineage: Eukaryota; Fungi; Ascomycota; Pezizomycetes; Pezizales; Pezizaceae.